UAUUGGGGUCGUAAAAUCAUACCUUUUCUAUGAUGUUGCCAUUGCUUCUUUAUGUCCACAAGGAGAAACCAGAUGAAUCGACUCAGAUCAUUGCUCUGAUUAUGACUCUCUGCUGACCCAGAUACUGGGAUGAAGUCAAAAUUCCUUGGCAUGGCUCUCAAGGCUUUUCACAACCUCAUCAUCCAACUUUUCAGACAUGGCUGAAAGAUAUGAGAUGAUGGCCAUGAAGACUUUCUCCAGAUUGGUGAACAGGCCUAAUCCUGAAGACAGACUUUUUGGGUAUAAAGGAUGAAGUUGUAGGGCAGGAAGUCUUAUGACACUCAGAACAGCUACUCAAUGGAAAUCACAAACAGAAUGAGUUUCAUCCACAUGUCAAGACACUACUACCAACAAAGCUAUUUCAGAGCACCUAUCCUAAAUACCUAGCUGUCUCUUCCACUUAAAGCAAGAGACAAUAUCUAAGGACAGAGAAUCUGCUUGGCCUAGCUAAGGGACAUGUCCACUUCUUGGCUGAACGAGGACUUGACGGUGCACUUUGAUUAACAGCAACCUUUGUACUAUACAAAUGGAGUUGAGGCAACUCCCUCGAAGGGUCCUGCUUUUGUCUGAAAUGGGAUGAAUGGGUGUUAUGAUUUUCUGUAAAAACCAAAGCUAUUAUAACCAUGCUUCUUAGACUUUCAUGUGCAUAUGAAUUUUCUGGGUUUCUUAUUAAAUUUCACACUCUGACUCAAUAGGCUGGGUCUGAAGCCAGAUUCUACAUUCCUGGAAAACACCCAGCUGACAGCCUUGUGGCCCACCGUUUGAGUAGCAAGCCUUUAUAAUCAUGAGCAAUGGGAAGACAAUUAGUUUUACAUUUCUUAAUCCACAUAUAUUUAUCUUUGUUUUAAUUGGGGUAUAAUUAUAUAAAUUAAUGAAUAGAUAAAAUGAGUAGAACUUAAGUCCAAAAUUUAACUUGUCUAUAUGCACCUAUGCAAGGAACACUAAACAUCCCUCCCAGGGGAUUUUCCUCCUGUCUCUUUUUUGUGUCCCCCUCUCCCCUCAGAGAGAACCACUAUUCUGAUUUCUAUUACCAUUGACUAGUUUUGCCUGUUCUUGAACUUUAUUUAAAUAGAAUAAUAUAAGGAUGUACUCUUUUGUGUCUAGCUGAUUUUGUUCAACACAAUGUUUGUGAGAUCUAUCGAUGUGCUUGCAUCUAUGAUUCAUUCCUUGGUAUUGUCAAUUAAUAUUUCAUUCUGUGACUAUGCUGCCAAGUUUACUACUUUUUUUGAUGGACAUUUGGCUCCCAUCCAAAUUUUUGCCAUUAUGAAUAAAACUGCUAUGAACAUUC
This 1327-nucleotide long non-coding RNA is filed under the name Macaca mulatta (Rhesus monkey). Its description in RNAcentral is "lncRNA (ENSMMUG00000050540.1)". The record is from RNAcentral. Lineage: Eukaryota; Metazoa; Chordata; Mammalia; Primates; Cercopithecidae.